GUGCUCACUUUAGCAAUACAUAUACUAAAUUUGGAACGAUACAGAGAGAAGAUUAUCCCAGCCACUUUGCAGAGAUGAUACAUAAAUUCGUGGCACAUUCCAUAUUUUU
RNAcentral lists this small nuclear RNA (109 nucleotides) under Neotoma lepida (desert woodrat). The record is from RNAcentral. Lineage: Eukaryota; Metazoa; Chordata; Mammalia; Rodentia; Cricetidae.